This 549-nucleotide ribosomal RNA is filed under the name Bifidobacterium animalis subsp. lactis. Its description in RNAcentral is "bacterial SSU rRNA". It matches the Rfam family "Bacterial small subunit ribosomal RNA", at positions 161 to 711 of the family's 1533-position model. Lineage: Bacteria; Bacillati; Actinomycetota; Actinomycetes; Bifidobacteriales; Bifidobacteriaceae. The record is from RNAcentral.
UGGUAAUACCGGAUGCUCCGCUCCAUCGCAUGGUGGGGUGGGAAAUGCUUUUGCGGCAUGGGAUGGGGUCGCGUCCUAUCAGCUUGUUGGCGGGGUGAUGGCCCACCAAGGCGUUGACGGGUAGCCGGCCUGAGAGGGUGACCGGCCACAUUGGGACUGAGAUACGGCCCAGACUCCUACGGGAGGCAGCAGUGGGGAAUAUUGCACAAUGGGCGCAAGCCUGAUGCAGCGACGCCGCGUGCGGGAUGGAGGCCUUCGGGUUGUAAACCGCUUUUGUUCAAGGGCAAGGCACGGUUUCGGCCGUGUUGAGUGGAUUGUUCGAAUAAGCACCGGCUAACUACGUGCCAGCAGCCGCGGUAAUACGUAGGGUGCGAGCGUUAUCCGGAUUUAUUGGGCGUAAAGGGCUCGUAGGCGGUUCGUCGCGUCCGGUGUGAAAGUCCAUCGCCUAACGGUGGAUCUGCGCCGGGUACGGGCGGGCUGGAGUGCGGUAGGGGAGACUGGAAUUCCCGGUGUAACGGUGGAAUGUGUAGAUAUCGGAAAGAAACACCA